RNAcentral lists this long non-coding RNA (3520 nucleotides) under Setaria italica (foxtail millet). Its description in RNAcentral is "long non-coding RNA (SITA_LNC005850)". The record is from RNAcentral. Lineage: Eukaryota; Viridiplantae; Streptophyta; Magnoliopsida; Poales; Poaceae.
CGUUUUUCUUUAAUCCCUAGUCACUUUUAUCUUAACCUAAAUAUUGCAAACCACACAGGGUUAAUAUAAUGAAGCUGUUCUAGUACUAGGAUACAAAUCGUUGUACAAGCCAGGCUCGUUUACAGCCUUCAAGUGCUGCUAUUAGGGCACGUACAACCCAUAAACAACUGCCGUCUUUUUUGCACCACGCAAACAAACUCGUCCAACAUGUGCAUCAUUAAAUGAGGGAAGAUAAUACUGCCGUCGUCUCGUUCGUCGUUGGCGUGGGCUUGUGCUCCAAAGUUACAGCGACGCUCAUCCUCCCGUUGUACGCGUCAUUGUGAGAUGCCGCCGGAUCCGGUGCUCCAGGCAUCAUCCCUACCUUCUCAACCGCAGAGCUGUGGGAAUAAGCAGGCCUGCAUGCAUGCGCGUAGACCAACGAAGCAUGGUUUGCUAGUUGGUGGGUGUUUCUUUGGGAUUUCAAACUUCAAACUAUUUUUUCUCCCAAACCGUAAAUUCAUUUUUGAAUCCGUUUGAACUACUAUCUUGCUGAGAAUUAAUGUAACAUAAUGAGAUCCAAUAUGAAUAUAUUUUACCACUUUUUAAAAAUCAACAUUUUGGAUAGUCUAUCUCAACAUUUUUUAUCAAAUAUUAAAAUAGUUUAUUCGAAAUGUUGAAUGAAUCUAAUAUUUAAAAUGUUGAGUACAUUAGUUUGAUAUUUUGAAUAUACGAGGCCACAACAAAAUGGUAUACAAAGAACAAAUUUAUACUUGAUCACCAUAGUUUUAUGUGUUUAUUGAUGAAUUAAAUACUUUGCAGACAACUCAAUAGACAGACCAUUGUAUGACUUGUCUGUUUUAUUGUCUAUAUGUGACAUGGCAUUUUUCGCAGACAACAGCUAUCUAAACUGUUGUACGUGACCUUAUGCCUCUGCCGGUGGUACGAGCGACCUAACCAAACCGACCAUUUACUAGUGCAAUUUUAAGGCUUUGUUUCGUCUGCUCAAAUGAAACUUGAACGAACAAUCUUUGUCUCUAGUGAGAGAAAGUUGGUAAUACGUAUUUAAAGGGUGUUUGAUACAAGGUGCUAAACUUUAAUAGGGUCACAUCGGAUGUUCGGAUGCUAAUUAGGAGGAUUAAACUUGAGAUAAUUACAAAACUAAUUGUACAGAUGGAGUCUAAUUCGCGAAACGAAUCUAUUAAGGCUAAUUAAUCCAUCAUUAGCAAAUGGUUACUGUAGCACCAUAUUGUCAAAUCAUGGACUAAUUAGGCUUAAUAGAUUGGUGUCGCGAAUUAGACUCCAUCUAUGCAAUUAGUUUUGUACUUAAACUACGUUUAAUACUCCUAAUUAGUAUCAAAUAUCCAAUGUGACAGGUGCUAAAAUUUAGCAGGGUGUUUUCAAACAGGCUCUAAGGGCAAGUACAUUGGUGUCGUCUAAUAAGCGGUCUCAUGCAUUGACACGUAAUCUUGAGACAAUUUAACAGGCAACUUGUACAAUGGGUUGUCCUAUAAGUUGUCUGGUAGUGGUAUAUAAUUUCUUAAUUUGUGCAUAAGAAAAAUAAAAUAUUAUGAGUUGCAUGGCAACAAUAACUCGUACAAUGGUGGUUAAGUUGUCUCGUAGUCCUACAAUUUAGCUCAUGAGGUGGUUGUUUCACGAAGCAACGAUCUCUUUCUCUCUCCUCUCUCUCUCCUCCACAUCAUCAAAAAUCCUACAUGGCACUGCAUGAGACGAACUAUGAGACCGUUGACGUGUAGUAAUAUACUUGCCCUAAAUUCAUUUCAGAACUCCGCGUGUCGUAUUGCAACGUUAAUGAACGACCUACUCGUUAUUAUAAAAAAAAAUAGAAAAAUGAACGACCGAAGAAGUGGCUACCCUAUCAGCUACUACUGGUAUUUUCGGAAUUGGGAAGGGUGCAUGCAAGAAUGCAGUAUUUAAACCAAUGUCUGCGCACCAAAAAAAAAAGAGCGAGUUCAAUGCAGCCGGCAGGGAUGACCAGAUGGAGGCUGAAGUAAAGGAUCUCAUCAGUUACUGACUAGGUACUGCAUCUGUUUUUAUUUUCCCUUGCCUUGUGGUGCAGGAUAUGUGGUCGUCAGAUAGUAGUGCUUUGGUGAGAUGCAGAAGGCAUGAGAGAAGUACUGCAUUCAAUGAACGUGCCAAGACUCAUCCAACGGACUUCUCCCACAGGCUUGCCAAACGGCUAACGUCAAAACGGCUCACAGGCGAAAGCCGAGCGAAUCCCGAUCUCUGCGUUAGGGCAUAUUUGGUUUAAGUGCUUAUAUUAUAAGCAACUUAAAGUUACUUAUUUGGAGUUGCUUAUUUUUAGUUCAGUUAUUUGGAUACCCUUACUUAUAAGCAUUGAAUGAGGUGGAUAUUGUCAUGUUUGCCCCUAAUCAUUGAGAGAGAGAGGGAGGGCCGCCAGGCAUUUGGUGUAAAGUGCAUUGAAUAGUCCCCAUAUGCAACCAUAAGCAACCAAGAGUUGCUUAGGGCAGUCCUAAUGGGACAUUGAUGAUAGUUUCUAUCCCUCUUAAUUAUCAUGCCAACGAAGCAAUUUGCUGAUGUGGCAGUAGAUUUAUUAUGGAGAGAGAGAAACCAUUUCUUAGAGAGGAAACCAAGUCCUCACACGCACCAAUGAGCCAAGAAAUCAGUGAUUCAGCAUUGGGGAGACCCAAGUAGUUUCUUCUUAAUUACUGCAGGAUCCUUUGCGCUUACACCGCUACUACUCAUCACUCGAGCUCCUUUACAUGAUGUACAGAGGAUCUGGUACUAGAAAGGAGAAUCAUUGGUUGGAUUUUUAUUUAGACUCUAGAUAAAAAAGUUGCAUUGUGAAGGAUGAUUUCUUGAUACAAUAUCCUAGAUUAUGGAAACAAGGAUAUUAUGGAAACUAGGUUGGUUUCUCCCAUUGGGACUGCCCUUAUUUGCUUAUAAUAAGCAAUCCCAUAAGCAAGAGUGAUUGGUUUCAUAAGCAACUUAUUUACUUAUUUUAAGUUGAUUAUGCAUAAGCAUGGGAAACAAACAGGCCCUUCCUCCGCUAAGGAGAAGCAAAGAAAAAAAAACGGCCCUUCCUCCACUAAGGAGAAGCAAAGAAAAAAAACGGCUCUACCGGCUCGUUCCCCACCAAAACGCUAAAAGACGCAUGUGCCCCUACUGUUUCAUGGAAAUUACCUUACCUGCCACUCAAGCUGCGAGCUCGGCAGGCGCGUGGAGGUGACGGUCGAGUGCUCGGGGCGGUUGGGCGGAGCUCCACGGGCGCGUGCGCUGUGGCGGCGGUUGGGACAGAGGUCGGCGGCAGAGGGGGUGGAGGCGUGGAGCUGGGCGGGCGCGUGGAGGCAGCGGCCGGGAGUCCGGGACCGAGCUCGGCGGGCGCGCGGAGAUGGCGGCCUGGGUGGAGGUCAACGGGCGGGUGCGCAGAGCUGGAGGCCAGGGUGGGGCUCGAUGGCGCGCGACUAGCAGGGCACCGAUUCGAGAUGCUGCCGCGCUGGAACUGAGCGGUGGAGAGAAUAAUGGGCGGCGGAGAAAAAAUCUGGAAGAAAGAGGACGUAUG